ACGAACGUCCGGCGCCGCCGUCGUAUUCUUUUUUUUUUCACGAUCUUUUUACUCGGUAAUUUAUUCACAGGCGUAUGUGCGUGACUCGGGAAGGGGUGGGAGAAGCUAAACCGCUAAAAGCCCGACACGACGUCCGCAACUGAUUGAAAACCACUCAACAGCUUUUCUGACUAAAUGUGUAUGCGGUAUAAUAUUAUAUAAUAUUAUUGCUAACUUUGUAUAACUUUAGUUACAAACAUUAAUCAACAUAGAAGAGAACUAAGAGAAGAUUAAGUGGAAUCACACGAAUGACACGAAGAGAAGACAAUUUAUUGACAAAACUUAAACAUUUAAAAUGUAGGAAAAUUGUUUUCCUUUUCUAUUUUAUUUCUUAUUUUUUCUUAUAACUUACAUAAAGAGAUCUCUAUUCCAGUUUCUUUUAAAGUGAUGGUGAAUUUUCGUGGUUAUGUAAAGGACAUUUUUAACGAAAGGGUUUGUAUACGACUAUGAGUACUGGUCUAAUGAUUGAUUUAUACUUGAAUAGUUAAUUAUUAAAACAAAUGUUAGAUUUUAAUGUAGGUCGAAGUAGGUGGAGGCGAAAGUUAAGUUGUUUUCGUUAUUGUUUAAUGUGAUUUGAUGAUGUUAACCUUUUAUCCAGAGUGAUACCAAUAAAUACUAAGGCAUUUUGUAAAUUGAUGAAGUAGAAUUUUUUUGUUGUUAAAUACAAGGGACAUUCCUUUUUCUUAAGAGAGAAAAAAAUAA
Molecule: long non-coding RNA, 741 nt
Organism: Rhopalosiphum padi (bird cherry-oat aphid)
Lineage: Eukaryota; Metazoa; Arthropoda; Insecta; Hemiptera; Aphididae
Exons: 2
Source: RefSeq, a predicted model, not a curated record